Non-coding RNA from Corylus avellana, 821 nucleotides. NCBI's taxonomy places the organism in Eukaryota, Viridiplantae, Streptophyta, Magnoliopsida, Fagales, Betulaceae. The record is from RefSeq and is a predicted model, not a curated record.
GCUAAAAAUAAAAAAGAAAAAAGAAAAGCUCUCUAGUCUCCAACCCGCCCAACAAAAUCCAAAAAUGUACCCCCUACAAAUUUUUUACCAUCUCUACUAGACUAGAGAGGACUGGCUGGACUGCAAUGUCCAAAAAAAAUUUAAUAAAUAAAAAUAAAAAUAAAAUAGAAGUUUUUUCCUGCUUUCCGCUCAACACGCAAUCACCAUUUUGUCAACUUGACAAAAUUCACAAGGCACGCUGCAGAAGGGGAAAGGAGGCAAAGUUUGUUUUUCAAACAAAUCUCAAAUCUUACUCAAUCUCACAUUCUCAUCUCACCCAACCCAAACCCAAAGAAAAAGAGAAAUUUUUUGUAGUUGAAGAAAUACCAAAGGCAAGAGAAGCACACCAAGAUUGGUUGUACAUCCACCGAUCUGUUGACUGCUGUACAUCCACCGUCGUCUUCAGCUCGCCAUGACGCCGUCCACGCACCACCAGCAGAAGUGAACAGGGCAUCGUAUCGAAUACGAUUGGAGGUGAAGAUUAUCGGUCUACGUAUCUUGAUUCCUCGUCUACAAAUCGGAAUGUGAAGCUCAUGGAUUCGGAAACCUGGUCUUAAACGAUGAUGAUCAGUUGGCGAAGGUAGCUCAUAAUCUGCAACACCAUUUUGGUCACUCUUCUAUUUCUAGCUUAAGUCCAAAUAUAUUCUCUUCUAAUUCAAGCGUAAUAUUUUUCUUUUCUUUCCUUCUUUCUUUAUUUUAUUUUUAUUUAUUUUUAUUUUUUUGUGUGGGAUGAGGAUUUGAGCAAGUUAUGAACAUGCAAGAAUCAAUUCAAGUGGAGUUGG